Molecule: ribosomal RNA, 429 nt
Filed under: Verrucomicrobiota bacterium
Lineage: Bacteria; Pseudomonadati; Verrucomicrobiota
Description: Verrucomicrobia bacterium partial 16S ribosomal RNA
Rfam family: Bacterial small subunit ribosomal RNA
Source: RNAcentral
UAUGGAAUCUUCCGCAAUGGACGAAAGUCUGACGGAGCAACGCCGCGUGAGUGAAGAAGGAUUUCGGUUCGUAAAACUCUGUUGUUAGGGAAGAAAAAAUGUAUAGUAACUAUAUACAAAAGAGACGGUACCUAACCAGAAAGCCACGGCUAACUACGUGCCAGCAGCCGCGGUAAUACGUAGGUGGCAAGCGUUGUCCGGAAUUAUUGGGCGUAAAGCGCGCGCAGGUGGUUUAGAAAGUCUGAUGUGAAAGCCCACGGCUCAACCGUGGAGGGUCAUUGGAAACUAAUAAACUUGAGUGCAGGAGAGAAAAGUGGAAUUCCUAGUGUAGCGGUGAAAUGCGUAGAGAUUAGGAGGAACACCGGUGGCGAAAGCGGCUUUUUGGCCUGCAACUGACACUGAGGCGCGAAAGCGUGGGGAGCAAACAGG